This is a non-coding RNA of Leptonychotes weddellii (Weddell seal), 1544 nucleotides long. Lineage: Eukaryota; Metazoa; Chordata; Mammalia; Carnivora; Phocidae. The record is from RefSeq and is a predicted model, not a curated record.
GACUGAGCCACCCAGGCGCCCCUAUCGAUCACUUUAAAUACACUUCUCCACAACAGAAAGAGGAACCAUCUCCCAACCCGUUUUGUGAGGCCAGCAUCACAGUGACAGAGACAUUACACAAAAGGAAUAUUAUGGAUUGACCUCUUUCAUUGAACACAGAUGCAAAAAUCCUAAACAAAGUAUUAACCAACUCAAUCUGGAAAUAAGGAAUUUAAAAAGAAUACAUUGAGUUUAUUCCAUGAAUACAAGGUUAAUUUAAUGUAAGAAAUUAAUGUAAUUUACUGCAUUAAGAAAAACUGAAGGAGAAAAAUCACGGGAUCAUCUCAACAGGUGCAGAAAGAGCAUUUGAUGCAACGUGACACCUAUUCAGGAUAACAGCUUAGCGAAUGAGGAAUAGAAGGCACAACCACAAAUAUCCCGUAGCUAAUGUCCUAUGAGAUGCAGUGGACAGGUUCCAAAGAUGGCCACUGACGUUUCUCCCAUGCCGCACAUGUCCAAUGUGAGCUGGCCUGCAGACCCACCUUGGCCCCUGGAACGUGGCAGAAGGGACGCGAGCCGUUUCUCUGCCCAGCACUGGAGAGAGCCGGCAGCGCCUCACACCCGUGGGAAGGGCUAUCACUAAAAACACAAAAGACAGCAAAACAAAAAAAACCACCAGAAAGUGACAAGUAUUGGCCAAGACAGGAGUAAUUGGAACCUUGCUCACCGCCAGUGGGAAGGUAGAACCGUGCAGCUGCUGGGGAAGACAGCCUGGCAGCUCAUCAGAAAAGUAAGCCUAGGACUCCCGUACGGUCCAGCAGUUCCAUGUCCUGCUACGUGGCCAGAAGGUGGCAUGCAGAUACCUGUGUGCCCACGCUCACGGCACCGAGGGUCCACCGUGGGUGAUUGCGCAACACGGUGGGGUCCGUCACACGAUGGGCUGUAAUUCAGCCGUAGGAAGGAAGGAGUGCUGACGUGGGCCGCAACGGGGACGGACCUCAAAAGCACAGUGUUCGGUGUGCGAAGCCAGACACACAAGACCCCGUAUUGUAGAUUCUACUUCUGUGAGGUCCCUGAUGGGGACACCGUGGCCGGGGCGGUGAGUGUCUUCUGGGAAUUCUAGAGGCCAGAGGGAGAGGGCCGAGCCCCCUCAGCGAGUUCGGGGAGGAGCUAGCAGACCCCUCUCCUUCCCCACCUGCUCGAAGCCGCAGAGAUGCCUCGCUGGAGGAGGCCAUGUUCCAACUCUCUAAACUGAGUCUGGACUUUCCAUUACUUCCUAGUCCUGGACACUUAGAAAGACUGAGUUGACACUGGGUUUGUAUCUUAACAUAACCCUAGAACUUUGAAUUCUCUCUGUUUGAGCCAAAAUGUGAUGGAGCUGUCCAAAUGUGUAUCUAGAGCAGGAACAGAACUUCCUCCAUUGAAUAAAUACUAAAGAGCCAGGAAGAGCUAAGGAAAAAGUGAUUUCCAAGUCUGUUCCGGAGUCUUGCUUGUUCAGUGUUCUGGUGACAUAUAUUUUAAAGUGUGUCAUUUAAGUCAGUAUAAUAAACUGAUUUUAGCAGACA